GAGAACAAAUAAUGGAAGGUUUCAUGGGUAUAGAGAACGCUAACCUAGCUUAAGAGCUGUAUGGUGUGCAGAGGAAUUGGAGCAAUUCUUAGAAAUUUUCCUCAAAUGACCAGGGGCUGAUAGAGGCUUUCUUGAGGCAAUAACCUGAAAACGUCUUACAAGCUGGGGAAAGCAGGCGUUCCAGGUGGCUGGAAAGAUUGGAGAGGGUAGAAAAACUUCACCUGACCUGCUUUCUUGAGAUGUGGAUUUGAAAGUCUGUUUUGAAAAUGGGACAGAAGAACAUGUACAGAGAGACAGCUGUCAGUGAGGAACAAAAUGCCGUUACUCUGCAGUCUCAGGAGUAGUUUCUGCAGCAGGACGUGCAAGGAGAGCUAUAGCUAUUGGAAGUAUAGGCAAGAAGUGACCAUUGAUCUUGGCAGUCCCUAGAUCAAGGGAUGAUGAGCUGUUCCAUAUAUUCUCUGCAGCUGGGAAUUCAGAACUUCAUUUGUACUUUCCAGAAAGUCUCACUCAUGCGGGCUGUACUUAGGAGUGCUCUCAGGAACUACACAGGGCUUUGUCAUAGGUAUUUAUGAGAGUUGAGAUUUAAAGGACCUGAAUAAAUUUCAGUUAUAUUGUUGUCUAAAUAUUCUUUUAUCCAGGUGCGCACCAAAUACAUUCACAGAUUUCUAUGACAAGUGUAAGUGUAAGGUGGGAUUAAGUACUUUUUCUACUUUGUUUAGUUUGCAAAGUAUUUAAUAGGAGUGUUUGUAUGCACAGGUGUUCACCGCAAUGGGGGGAAUAAGAAGCAUUUUAAAAAUAAAAAGUAGUCUGAUUGUAAAAGUAAUAAAAUUAGCAAAGGGAUCAGGAGCUGCAUUAAUGUUGGUAAUAACAUCUAAGUAGCAAAA
Gallus gallus (chicken) is the source of this 884-nucleotide long non-coding RNA. RefSeq lists it as uncharacterized. The record is from RefSeq and is a predicted model, not a curated record. NCBI's taxonomy places the organism in Eukaryota, Metazoa, Chordata, Aves, Galliformes, Phasianidae. The transcript has 4 exons.